Molecule: non-coding RNA, 64 nt
Organism: Brevundimonas sp. KM4
Lineage: Bacteria; Pseudomonadati; Pseudomonadota; Alphaproteobacteria; Caulobacterales; Caulobacteraceae
Source: Rfam
CUUGGACCCGGCCCUGUUCGCAGGCGACGGGUGGCUAUCCCCGCCGCCGAUCCGCUGGGAAACC